RNAcentral lists this long non-coding RNA (301 nucleotides) under Nicotiana benthamiana. RNAcentral's name for it is "long non-coding RNA (NBEN_LNC003675)". Lineage: Eukaryota; Viridiplantae; Streptophyta; Magnoliopsida; Solanales; Solanaceae. The record is from RNAcentral.
AUAUUUUCCAUCUUUCAACUGGUGAUACCAAUAAGUACAUAAGGUUUGCUUAACACUUUUAUCUAGGCGUUCUAGUGUGCGUCUGAGUAAUGCAACAAUGACAAGAUGGAUAUUUGGGCAUGAGUUCUUUUUAGGUGAUCAACAAAAGAAUACUAUGUGCCUUUCUCCAAAGAUCAUCAAUACCCAUUUCCACAACAAGUGGUUUUGGCAAGGUCCCCUUACUUGUUUCUCCCUGAGUGAGAUUUUCCAGCAUGUAAACCCUUCAUGUUCUAGUUAUUCCUUUGGGAACACUCACUUCUUC